RNAcentral lists this long non-coding RNA (2814 nucleotides) under Erythranthe guttata (spotted monkey flower). RNAcentral describes it as "long non-coding RNA (EGUT_LNC002433)". Lineage: Eukaryota; Viridiplantae; Streptophyta; Magnoliopsida; Lamiales; Phrymaceae. The record is from RNAcentral.
ACAAAUCUCAUGGGAAAAUAGUACAAAUAUAAAAGAAAGGUCCAAUCAUGAGGAGAAGAUGUCAACCUUAGAAGAUCUUCAUCCUUGAUCUCUAACAAAAAAAAGUUUAUGGGUAAGUUUUCUUUAUUUUGAUGGAAUUAUUUUCUUGAAACCUAUGAUUAUUACAUGACUUAUGAUUUUCAAUUAGUUUUUAUUAUUAAGUGGUUUUGUUAAUAUUUAUCAUACAAAACAUGGGCGAAACUAAGAUUUUUCGAUUGAGCAAUUUGAUGGGACCAAUCGAAAGACCUUAAGGUUAUGGGGUUUGGCGUACUGUAGAUGCUACACCUGGUCAAAUACAUCGAAUAGUUUUUGCAGCAUAGGUUUUUGAAUCAUAGAUUUGUAGGCAAUCACAUAUACAUAGAUAUGGAUAGCAUAGGUUUUUGAAUCAUAGAUUUGUAGGCAAUCACAUAUACAUAGAUAUGGAUGAUGGGUGUAAAGUUUAAAGUGUAUAGUUAUAGUGAAACUCCGUAGCUUUUGCAUAAUAGAUUCAUAUACCAUUCAAUCCGGACAUUACCGAAAUUCGGUAGCUUUUGCAUGAUAGAUUCAUACACAAUCAUAUACCAUUCAAUCUACACACUAGUAGAUGAGCAUCUGUCACGGAUUUGAACCUCAAUCAAGUAUCGUGUAACACUUGAAAGUGUACAAUUUGUACACUCGUAGGCAUAAUAGUGCACAUGUGCGACACACAAAAGUGCAAGUGCACUAGUGCGCCACUGGAUAGUGCCCACAAGUGUGCGCCAUCAAUGGUCUGCAACCUAAUGAUGCUUCUACAUGUUUUUUGUGUAACUUACUGGUGGAUUUAAAAAACCUCGCGAAUUGACUCGAGUCGGGUUAACGGUGACAUCGAUUGUCCGCAACCUAAUGAUGCUUCUACAUGUUUUUCAUGUACCUCACCGGUGGAUUUUUAAAAACCUCGCGAAUUGACUCGGUUUAAUGGUCCGCAACCUAAUAAUGCUUCUACAUGUUUUUCUUCUAACUCACCGGUGGAUUUUAAAAACCUUGCGAAUUGACUCGGGUUAUGCCAUCAUUGGUCCACAGCCUAAUAAUGUUUCUACAUGUUUUUCUUGUAACUCACCGGUGGAUUUUAAAAACCUCGCGAAUUGACUUGGGUUACCGGUGUGGUUUUGGCAGUAUUGACCACGGACCAAAUUCAUAUCUUAAUCAAUGACCAAAUUCAUAUCUUAAUCAAUGAUGCUCUAAUAGAAUAAAAUAGAAUUGUUUUUAGUAUAAAUAGGAAUAUGUUCUAAAACGUUUUUGAUACCGGCUUCAAAAAAGUUAUAGAACGUAUUCCUAUUUAUACUAAGAACAAACGUUUUUGAUACCGGCUUCAAAAAAGUUAUAGAACGUAUUCCUAUUUAUACUAAGAACAAUUCCAUUUGAUUCUAUUACAGCAACAUUGAUAAAGAUAUGAAUUAUCUAACAUAUGAUUAUUCGAAUCCCCUAAAUUUAGGAAUUACAAUUGUGUGAGAUGAGUUGGAUAACAUGAACUUGAAUUGGUUAGGAUGGUUUGUAGAUGCUGCACUCUGGAAUACACCCUCUGGAAUACAUCGGGUGAUUUUGCACAAUCGAUCUACAAUUAAAAAAAUUACCUACAUGUAUACGUGCGUAGUGGAUGAUUAUUUAUGUAGAUCUGUGGUGUAAAAUUACCCGGUACAUUUCACCAGGUGAAGCAACUCAUAGACCUAUCCAUGGUAAUGUAAUAUGUGAAUAUACUAAAUUCCUUGAUAAAUUGCAUAAUGAUAGUGUUUAAAUUUUUCCAUGGAUUACACCAUCCAUGAUCAUGUAAUUAGUGAUUACCUUAAUGCUAUAUCAUGUAUAGCAUUGUGUACAUUAUUUUUAUUAUUAUUUCUCUAUAUUAUACAGAUUAUGCAUUGUAUGUUAUUAGGGGUAUAAAAUAGAAACAAAAGUUAUCCAAAAUACCCUAAUAUUUUGAAAUAGAUUUUUCGUUCUAGUUUUUGAAAUUUUGAUUUUAGUUUUUUUCCUUAACAUGUUAAUUUCAAUUUUACUUUUCUUCUGCCCUUUAGCUUAAUUAAUGGAUCGUUGUUGUUGUUCUUUACGUGUUGCUUGAAUAUAGGUAAUGUGGAGACUGAAACUUUCUGAAGGAGACAGUUUUGGGAUUUUGAUCCAAUCCCAUGAAGAAAAAGCUCGAUUUGACUUCGAAGAACAAGCUUGAGUUGACUUUCGGAAAAGCCGUUAUGAGAUCAAGUAAGGUUCAGGUGACAGCAAAUCCUUAAACUAAAGUUGUCUUAUUUUUAUGUGACAUUAAAGUUUGUUUUGGAUAAAAUCUGCAUCUCAUUAAAAAAUCAGUAGCUGUAUACAAUUUUGUCAAAUCUCUCUAUAAUCUAUUUACACUUUUAUCCGCUCCUAGGCAGGCCGAUUUAUAUGGAGGCUACUUGCUCUACAGAGUAUAUCUAUACGCGAUCAUGAAGAAUGGUUUUUCUUGUCGGCAAAAUUAGAGAUAUGAUUUUUCAUUGCUGUUAAUUCUCGAUCCUAGACGUCAGUUCUUCAAGAUCUUCAACUGCUUUGUCAACGGCAUGAAGGAUCAUCUUCUUGAUCUGCACGAUAUAAAUUUUGGUAAUUAUUCUCUCAUUUUUUUUAUAUAUUUUUUUAAUUGUCAAAUGGGAUAUUAAAAAGCUACCUCUAAUUUGUCUUCUCUGGCUCUAUGUUCUCUUGGCAGCUUCCUGAAUUCUUCAGUCAGUCUGAGGCAUUCAUGUAAGUUUUCGGGAGAAACGAAAUCUGCAGCAACUUUUGUGCAUGACUGCGAUAGUAGCGAAC